GAGAUGGGUCUUAUGAAGGCAGAGGUAGUGGGAGGCUUAGCAAGAAAAAUAAACAACUUCAACUGGCUGUUUUUCUUGCCAAUUCCUCCCAUUCCAAUGGUUUCAUGAGGUUACUC
This 116-nucleotide microRNA precursor is filed under the name Panax ginseng (ginseng). RNAcentral describes it as "miR482a stem-loop (pgi-MIR482a)". Its record names the gene pgi-MIR482a. The record is from miRBase by way of RNAcentral. Lineage: Eukaryota; Viridiplantae; Streptophyta; Magnoliopsida; Apiales; Araliaceae.